AUUGAACGCUGGCGGCAUGCUUUACACAUGCAAGUCGAACGGCAGCGCGGGCUUCGGCCUGGCGGCGAGUGGCGAACGGGUGAGUAAUGCAUCGGAACGUGCCCAGUAGUGGGGGAUAGCCCGGCGAAAGCCGGAUUAAUACCGCAUACGACCUGAGGGUGAAAGCGGGGGACCGAAAGGCCUCGCGCUAUUGGAGCGGCCGAUGUCGGAUUAGCUAGUUGGUGGGGUAAAGGCUUACCAAGGCGACGAUCCGUAGCUGGUCUGAGAGGACGACCAGCCACACUGGGACUGAGACACGGCCCAGACUCCUACGGGAGGCAGCAGUGGGGAAUUUUGGACAAUGGGGGCAACCCUGAUCCAGCCAUGCCGCGUGCGGGAAGAAGGCCUUCGGGUUGUAAACCGCUUUUGUUCGGGAAGAAAUCCUCUGGGCUAAUACCCCGGUGGGAUGACGGUACCGGAAGAAUAAGCACCGGCUAACUACGUG
RNAcentral lists this ribosomal RNA (484 nucleotides) under uncultured bacterium. RNAcentral describes it as "partial 16S ribosomal RNA". It matches the Rfam family "Bacterial small subunit ribosomal RNA", at positions 28 to 507 of the family's 1533-position model. The record is from RNAcentral.